Molecule: ribosomal RNA, 112 nt
Filed under: Agaricales sp.
Lineage: Eukaryota; Fungi; Basidiomycota; Agaricomycetes; Agaricales
Description: partial small subunit ribosomal RNA
Rfam family: Eukaryotic small subunit ribosomal RNA
Source: RNAcentral
UAAAUAGCCAGGCCGGCUCUCGCUGGUCGCCGGCUUCUUAGAGGGACUGUCAGCGUCUAGCUGACGGAAGUUUGAGGCAAUAACAGGUCUGUGAUGCCCUUAGAUGUUCUGG